Molecule: ribosomal RNA, 253 nt
Filed under: uncultured bacterium
Lineage: Bacteria
Description: partial 16S ribosomal RNA
Rfam family: Bacterial small subunit ribosomal RNA
Source: RNAcentral
UACGUAGGUGGCAAGCGUUGUCCGGAAUUAUUGGGCGUAAAGCGCGCGCAGGCGGUCCUUUAAGUCUGAUGUGAAAGCCCACGGCUCAACCGUGGAGGGUCAUUGGAAACUGGGGGACUUGAGUACAGAAGAGAAGAGUGGAAUUCCACGUGUAGCGGUGAAAUGCGUAGAGAUGCGGAGGAACACCAGUGGCGAAGGCGACUCUUUGGUCUGUAACUGACGCUGAGGCGCGAAAGCGUGGGGAGCGAACAGG